UACAGAGGGGGCAAGCGUUGUUCGGAAUUACUGGGCGUAAAGGGCGCGUAGGCGGCCUGUUAAGUCGAACGUGAAAUCCCCGGGCUCAACCCGGGAACUGCGUCCGAUACUGGCAGGCUUGAAUUCGGGAGAGGGAUGCGGAAUUCCAGGUGUAGCGGUGAAAUGCGUAGAUAUCUGGAAGAACACCCGUGGCGAAGGCGGCUUCCUGGAACGACACUGACGCUGAGACGCGAAAGCGUGGGGAGCAAACAGG
This 253-nucleotide ribosomal RNA is filed under the name uncultured bacterium. Its description in RNAcentral is "partial 16S ribosomal RNA". It matches the Rfam family "Bacterial small subunit ribosomal RNA", at positions 524 to 776 of the family's 1533-position model. The record is from RNAcentral.